UACGUAGGGGGCAAGCGUUGUCCGGAUUUAUUGGGCGUAAAGCGCACGCAGGCGGUUGAACAAGUUUGCGGUGACAGUGCUCGGCUUCACUGAGCAAGUGCCGCGAAAACUGUUCGACUUGAGGGCUUCAGAGGGAGGCGGAAUUCCGGGUGUAGUGGUGAAAUGCGUAGAUAUCCGGAGGAACACCAAAGGCGAAGGCAGCCUCCUGGGAAGUCACUGACGCUCAGGUGCGAAAGCUAGGGGAGCGAACGGG
RNAcentral lists this ribosomal RNA (253 nucleotides) under uncultured Ktedonobacter sp. RNAcentral's name for it is "partial 16S ribosomal RNA". It matches the Rfam family "Bacterial small subunit ribosomal RNA", at positions 524 to 776 of the family's 1533-position model. The record is from RNAcentral. Lineage: Bacteria; Bacillati; Chloroflexota; Ktedonobacteria; Ktedonobacterales; Ktedonobacteraceae.